This 72-nucleotide transfer RNA is filed under the name Marmota monax (woodchuck). Its description in RNAcentral is "tRNA.Ala". The record is from RNAcentral. Lineage: Eukaryota; Metazoa; Chordata; Mammalia; Rodentia; Sciuridae.
GUUGAGGAUAUAGCUCAGUGGUAGAGUGCUUACCUGGCAUGCAUGAGGCCCUGGAUUUGAUCCCCAGCAACA